AACGUGAGGGGCGAACGUUGUCCGGAAUCACUGGGCGUAAAGGGUACUCAGGCGGUGGAGAUAGUCGGGUGUGAAAGCCUCAGGCUUAACCUGAGGGGAACGAUCGAUACUUCUCCACUUGAGGAAGGGAGAGGGAGGUGGAAUUCCCGGUGUAGCGGUGAAAUGCGCAGAUAUCGGGAGGAACACCAGUGGGGAAGGGGGCCUCCGAUCACUUUCAUGACAAUCAGGUACGAAAGCUAGGGGAGCGAACCGG
RNAcentral lists this ribosomal RNA (253 nucleotides) under uncultured bacterium. RNAcentral's name for it is "partial 16S ribosomal RNA". It matches the Rfam family "Bacterial small subunit ribosomal RNA", at positions 524 to 776 of the family's 1533-position model. The record is from RNAcentral.